AGUGAACGCUGGCGGUAGGCCUAACACAUGCAAGUCGAACGGCAGCACAGGAGAGCUUGCUCUCUGGGUGGCGAGUGGUGGACGGGUGAGGAAUACAUCGGAAUCUACUCUGUCGUGGGGGAUAACGUAGGGAAACUUACGCUAGUACCGCAUACGACCUACGGGUGAAAGCAGGGGAUCUUCGGACCUUGCGCGAUUGAAUGGGCCGAUGUCGGAUUAGCUAGUUGGCGGGGUAAAGGCCCACCAAGGCGACGAUCCGUAGCUGGUCUGAGAGGAUGAUCAGCCACACUGGAACUGAGACACGGUCCAGACUCCUACGGGAGGCAGCAGUGGGGAAUAUUGGACAAUGGGCGCAAGCCUGAUCCAGCCAUACCGCGUGGGUGAAGAAGGCCUUCGGGUUGUAAAGCCCUUUUGUUGGGAAAGAAAUCCAGCUGGCUAAUACCCGGUUGGGAUGACGGUACCCAAAGAAUAAGCACCGGCUAACUUCGUGCCAGCCGCCGCGGUAA
This 506-nucleotide ribosomal RNA is filed under the name uncultured bacterium. RNAcentral describes it as "partial 16S ribosomal RNA". It matches the Rfam family "Bacterial small subunit ribosomal RNA", at positions 29 to 523 of the family's 1533-position model. The record is from RNAcentral.